Molecule: small nucleolar RNA, 75 nt
Organism: Polyodon spathula (Mississippi paddlefish)
Lineage: Eukaryota; Metazoa; Chordata; Actinopteri; Acipenseriformes; Polyodontidae
Source: RefSeq, a predicted model, not a curated record
AUCUCUUGUGAUGAUUUGUAUUACCGCCCCAGUCUGAGAAUUCAUGACUGACUGGUACUGUACCUUCUGACUGCA